RNAcentral lists this ribosomal RNA (371 nucleotides) under uncultured bacterium. RNAcentral's name for it is "bacterial SSU rRNA". It matches the Rfam family "Bacterial small subunit ribosomal RNA", at positions 527 to 896 of the family's 1533-position model. The record is from RNAcentral.
GAAGGGUGCAAGCGUUACUCGGAAUUACUGGGCGUAAAGCGUGCGUAGGUGGUUCGUUAAGUCUGCCGUGAAAGCCCCGGGCUCAACCUGGGAAUGGCGGUGGAUACUGGCGGACUAGAGUGCGGUAGAGGGUGGUGGAAUUCCCGGUGUAGCAGUGAAAUGCGUAGAGAUCGGGAGGAACAUCUGUGGCGAAGGCGGCCACCUGGACCAGCACUGACACUGAGGCACGAAAGCGUGGGGAGCAAACAGGAUUAGAUACCCUGGUAGUCCACGCCCUAAACGAUGCGAACUGGACGUUGGGAGCAACUAGGCUCUCAGUGUCGAAGCUAACGCGUUAAGUUCGCCGCCUGGGGAGUACGGUCGCAAGACUG